This 253-nucleotide ribosomal RNA is filed under the name uncultured bacterium. RNAcentral's name for it is "partial 16S ribosomal RNA". It matches the Rfam family "Bacterial small subunit ribosomal RNA", at positions 524 to 776 of the family's 1533-position model. The record is from RNAcentral. RNAcentral also lists the same sequence under 2 other names.
UACGUAGGGGGCAAGCGUUAUCCGGAUUUACUGGGUGUAAAGGGAGCGUAGACGGUGAUGUAAGUCAGAUGUGAAAGCCCGGGGCUCAACCCCGGGACUGCAUUUGAAACUAUGUUGCUAGAGUGCAGGAGAGGUAAGUGGAAUUCCUAGUGUAGCGGUGAAAUGCGUAGAUAUUAGGAGGAACACCAGUGGCGAAGGCGGCUUACUGGACUGUAACUGACGUUGAGGCUCGAAAGCGUGGGGAGCAAACAGG